AUCUUUCUAGUAUUAACAUUAGUAUAGGUGACUUCCAAUCACACGGCCUUGGUUAAAAUCCAAGGAAGGAUA
This 72-nucleotide transfer RNA is filed under the name Galaxias sp. 'southern' (southern flathead galaxias). Its description in RNAcentral is "tRNA-Gly". It matches the Rfam family "tRNA". Rfam says of the family: Transfer RNA (tRNA) molecules are approximately 80 nucleotides in length. The record is from RNAcentral. Lineage: Eukaryota; Metazoa; Chordata; Actinopteri; Galaxiiformes; Galaxiidae.